Molecule: unclassified non-coding RNA, 205 nt
Filed under: Hevea brasiliensis (rubber tree)
Lineage: Eukaryota; Viridiplantae; Streptophyta; Magnoliopsida; Malpighiales; Euphorbiaceae
Source: RNAcentral
UUGCGUCCUCCACAAGUAUACGGGUCGUUCAAGUAGUAAAGAAAAUAUAACGUCCCACAGAGAUUUAUUGUUUGAAUACCAAACUAUAAAAGUCACGAUUAUUUUGACUAUCGAUAAUUUGUGCCAAAAAUAGAGUAAGAGAUGCAGCAAAUUAAAUUGGGAAAAUAAGGAAAUUUUAAUGAAUUAAGCAAUUAAAAUUCUAAGC